GUGAACAACCAAGGGCGCGCGGUGGAUGCCUAGGCUCUCGGAGGCGAUGAAGGACGCGAUAAGCCGCGAUAGGCCACGGCGAGGUGCAAGUAACCCUUGACCCGUGGAUUUCCGAAUGGGGCAACCCGGCCGUCUAGAUGACGGUCAUGCAUUAAUGCAGGCGAACGCGGGGAACUGAAACAUCUCAUUACCCGCAGGAGAAGAAAACAAAAUGUGAUUCCCCCAGUAGUGGCGAGCGAACGGGGAAGAGCCCAAACCGUUGCCGUUUCGGCGACAGCGGGGUCAUGGGACCGCGACAUUCGACGGAAGACGAAGUGCAAUUACCUGGAAAGGUAAGCCGUGGAGGGUGACAGCCCCGUGCACGACACCUCUUUCGAAGAUAGCGGGAUCCCGAGUAGGGCGGGACACGAGAAAUCCUGCCUGAAUUCGCCAGGACCGCCUGGCAAGGCUAAAUACUCCCGAGAGACCGAUAGUGAACCAGUACCGCGAGGGAAAGGUGAAAAGUACCCCGAGCAGGGGGGUGAAAUAGACCCUGAACCCGCGCGCCUACAAGCGGUCGGAGCCAUGAAAUAUGGUGACGGCGUGCCUUUUGCAUAAUGAGCCUACGAGUUAGUCGUCACCAGCGAGGUUAAGGGCUUCAGGCCCGUUAGCCGAAGUGAAAGCGAGCCUUAACAGGGCGUUAAGUUGGUGGCGCUAGACGCGAAACCUUGUGAUCUACCCACGAGCAGGUUGAAGUCGCGGUAACACGUGAUGGAGGACCGAACCGGUAAACGUUGAAAAGUUUUCGGAUGACUCGCGGGUAGGGGUGAAAGGCCAAUCAAACUGGGAAAUAGCUCGUACUCUCCGAAAUGCAUUUCGGUGCAGCCUGUGAUGUUCUGUUCCAGAGGUAGAGCUACUGGUUGGACGCGAGGGCUUCACCGCCUAUCAAAUCCGGAUAAACUCCGAAUGCUGGAACACGAAAUCAUGGAGUGAGCCCGCGGGUGCUAAGGUCCGCGGACGAGAGGGAAAGAACCCGGACCACCGGCUAAGGUCCCGGAUGGACAGUUAAGUUGAUCAAACGAGGUGGGAUCGCUGAGACAGCUAGGAUGUUGGCUUGGAAGCAGCCAUUCAUUUAAAGAGUGCGUAACAGCUCACUAGUCGAGCGAUCCCGCGUGGAUAAUACACGGGCAUCAAACUGUCAACCGAAGCCGUGGGGUUAGUGAUGAGCUAACCGGUAGGAGAGCAUUCCUGCCAGCUUAGAAGGUCACCCGCGAGAGUGACUGGAGCGGCAUGAAAAGCAAAUGUAGGCAUAAGUAACGAUAAUGGGGGCGAGAACCCCCCACGCCGCAAGACCAAGGAUUCCCCGGCAAUGUCAAUCAGCCGGGGGUCAGCCGGCCUCUAAGGCUCACCCGAAAGGGGAUGCCGACGAGAAACGGGUUAACAUUCCCGUGCUUCUCGUCACCGUGACGCGGUGACGGGGUGAUGAAUGGACCGCGCGCUGACGGAAUAGCGCGUUGAAGGCCGUACCCUUUGACGGUGGUAGUCAAGCACGCCACCGGAGGCGAGAGCCGAUAGUACCACGAGACCCCGGUCGAGUGGAUAGCGUCCAGGCAAUUUACCCCCUAGAAAACCCGCUAAACUUCAAGUGACGAGGAACCGUACUGUAAACGGACACACGUGGUCGGGUAGAACAUACCAAGGCGCUCGAGUGAUUCAUGGUCAAGGAACUAGGCAAAAUAGUCCUGUAACUUCGGGAAAAAGGACGCUCUAGUGAUAGAGCCGCAGAGUAAUGGCCCAGGCGACUGUUUACCAAAAACACAUGGCUAUGCCAAAUCGAAAGAUGACGUAUAUGGCCUGACACCUGCCCGGUGCCGGAAGGUUAAGAGGAGAGCUCAUCGGAAACGAGAAGGUUUGAAUUGAAGCCCCGGUAAACGGCGGCCGUAACUAUAACGGUCCUAAGGUAGCGAAAUUCCUUGUCGGGU
RNAcentral lists this ribosomal RNA (1961 nucleotides) under human gut metagenome. Its description in RNAcentral is "bacterial LSU rRNA". It matches the Rfam family "Bacterial large subunit ribosomal RNA", at positions 1 to 1977 of the family's 2925-position model. The record is from RNAcentral.